GACGAACGCUGGCGGCGUGCUUAACACAUGCAAGUCGAACGAUGAAGCCGGAGCUUGCUCCGGUGGAUUAGUGGCGAACGGGUGAGUAACACGUGAGCAAUCUGCCCUUGACUCUGGGAUAACUGCGGGAAACUGUAGCUAAUACCGGAUACGACACCUUGGGGCAUCCCAGGGUGUGGAAAGAAUUUCGGUCAAGGAUGAGCUCGCGUCCUAUUAGCUAGUUGGUGAGGUAAUGGCUCACCAAGGCGACGAUAGGUAGCCGGCCUGAGAGGGUGAACGGCCACAAGGGGACUGAGACACGGCCCUUACUCCUACGGGAGGCAGCAGUGGGGAAUAUUGGACAAUGGACCAAAAGUCUGAUCCAGCAAUUCUGUGUGCUUGAUGAAGGCCUUCGGGUUGUAAAGAGCUUUAAGUAGGGAAGAAGAAAGUGACGGUACCUACAGAAUAAGCGACGGCUAAAUACGUG
RNAcentral lists this ribosomal RNA (466 nucleotides) under uncultured bacterium. Its description in RNAcentral is "bacterial SSU rRNA". It matches the Rfam family "Bacterial small subunit ribosomal RNA", at positions 28 to 507 of the family's 1533-position model. The record is from RNAcentral.